Molecule: ribosomal RNA, 405 nt
Filed under: uncultured bacterium
Lineage: Bacteria
Description: partial 16S ribosomal RNA
Rfam family: Bacterial small subunit ribosomal RNA
Source: RNAcentral
GACGAACGCUGGCGGCGUGCUUAACACAUGCAAGUCGAGCGGAGCGGCGAACGGGUGAGUAACGCGUGAGUAACUGCCCCCCUCUCUGGGAUAACAGUUGGAAACGGCUGCUAAUACCGGAUAGUGUGGGAUGACACGCGUCCUAUCAGCUUGUUGGUGGGGGAGUGGCCUACCAAGGCGACGACGGGUAGCCGGCCUUGGAGGGCGACCGUGCACAAUGGGCUGAGAUACGGCCCAGACUCCUACGGGAGGCAGCGGGGGGGAAGCUUGCACAAUGGGGGAAACCCUGAUGAAGCAGCGCCGCGUGCGGAAUGUCGGCCUUCGGGUUGUAAACCGCUUUCAGCCAUGACGCGGUAGUGGCAGAAGAAGCACCGGCUAACUACGUGCCAGCAGCCGCGGUAAUUC